Pyrus x bretschneideri (Chinese white pear) is the source of this 3342-nucleotide long non-coding RNA. RefSeq lists it as uncharacterized. The transcript has 3 exons. The record is from RefSeq and is a predicted model, not a curated record. NCBI's taxonomy places the organism in Eukaryota, Viridiplantae, Streptophyta, Magnoliopsida, Rosales, Rosaceae.
CUAAGCAUUAAGACAAUUAGAUAGUUUAAACCAGUAAUUAAUAAUUCAAAACUUGCAUGCAUAAUAUCAUAAGCAAAUUGAAAAAAACCUACAUAUUCUUGCUAAGACUCAUGCCUUCACCCUAGCAAAUGGAAAUUAAGUACGAACUAUCAUAAACAAAAUAUUAUUAAAAACAUGGAUAGAAAACAUCUUGAAAAUAAACUUAAAUCUUCCAAAUUAAUGCGUCCCUAAAUUUUAUGUGUUCUUCGCCUCUCCAAAAACCCUAAUAGCUAAAAAACCUUAUUUAUAUUACUAAAAAAUAAAGCCUUAAAAGGUCUUAGAAUAAAACUAGGAAAUAUAAUAAAAUAAUAAAAUAGAAAAUAAAAGGUUUCCUAUCUGAACAAAAAUUCGUUCUCAGAAAAUGAGACUUUUGAGAGAUCAAAUCAACUCUGAUUUGGUCCCAAAAUGUCUCUUUUGAAAGCUGAAGACGUCCCCUACAAAUCAUGAGAAGGAAUUUUCCUCAAAAUAUGUCAUAUUGACCUCCAAAUUACCCAAAAUGUCUAGAAAUGUCAAUCUAGAAAAGCUGAGCGCUGGGGCAUAAUUUCAUUGCCACGGUCAAACCCAGCACCCUUUUGGCAUUAUGAUUUGGGGUCUUUAGCCAUCUGGGUCGACCCGAACAAUGGCAAAGAUGGAUCUUUUGCUCCCUCUGCUCCACUUUGCCCCUCCCAUCUCCUUCUUCCUUGCUUCUCAUAACCUGAAAACCCAUAAAACCUAGAAGACCAAACCCAGAAAACAUAAAACGCGUUGAUCGCAAACCUUCCAUAUCUUUCACCUUCAAGCAAAUUGCACAUACACCCCACCGCAACUCCUUAAUUUUAACUCUAUUUUUAGCUCUGUGGUUUGAUUUUGAAGAUAUAUAGUAGAAGGAGUUGGACGGGAAAGGAAAAUGGAAGAUAUGGAGAAAAAGGAGGAGAGAUCAUGCGAGCAAAGAAAAGGGGAGAGACAGAGAAUUCUAGAAAAUAAAAAAGAAUACCAAAAAAAAAAUUAUUAUCUUGCUUUUUAGUCCGAAACUACGUCAAAUACUUUACUAAGUUAGUCUAUUCUAAAUCAACCCAAAUUAAUCGCUGAAGUUAAUCAAAUUCGAAAUAGUACGGUGCAACAAAUGCACCGAUAAGGUCUUAGGUUUUGGGCAACUAUGGCUUAUAAGAAUUAACCCAAAUAAAGUCAGACAUGAGUUGAAACUAAUAUUAUAAGUUUAAAUAAAUGGCUAAAAUGUAAUUUUGGUUUCAGAGCAUUAGGGUUAGGUAGGGAUGGGCAAAAUAUCCAUGGUUACCCGUCCAUUUAAACUUCAUAGUUACGGUUAUGGGUAACCGUUUAGAUAAAUAAAUGGUUAUAGGGAUAACCGUUUACCUGUGAAAUUUAAAUGGGUGGUUAUGGGUAUUAACCGCGAUUAUAAAUGGGUAACCGUUUACCCAUUUAUUUUAUAUAUGUAAAAUUAACACAAAUCAUGUUCUCUAUCGGACAAAACUUAGAUCACUGCUAUUGACUAUAGUGUGGUUUAUAUAGCGGUGUUUUAAUUAAUUAAAAAAUAAUAAACAAUAAUCCAUGGAGUAUUUUUAUCCUUAAAUUGAAUAAAUCAAAAGAAAUUUAAGUGAGAAAAAUAAACAGGAGCGCGCUGAAAUCAUUUCCAUUGCAGUAUGCAUGCAUUAGAUUUAGUUAAGAUGUUAGUCAACUUACCAGUGGAAUUGCAGGGUAGAGCCUCUGUGUCUUAGUCAAAGCUGCUAAGAGAUAUUGCAUUUUAUUAAGGGCAUCUUCAUUAAGACUGUCUGUAAGUUCAACAAUGCUUGAAUCAUCUUUCAGAUUUGGUGCUUCUCGAACUUCCGUUGCAACCUUUCUUGCAUAUGAGGGCGCUUGCAGAGCAUAUAAAUAACCCACGAGGUUAAGGAAUAUAGACGCUCCGAUGCGUGCGUGUAGCUGUGAUCAUCAAUUGCGGCAACCAUACUUAAUCAUGCCGGUCGCCAUUUGCAGAAUCAUGCCGUCGCCAUGAAAACACCCCGCAGUAGCAGUACAAUAACCCAGCCGUCCUCAGCAGCAGCAGCACCACCGGCCUCAGCCUCGGCCUCUGAUGAUCAUAUUCAUCACUCUAAAGGACAAAAAAAUAAUCUCAACGCUAGCGGCAAACAGGCUAUCAACCAAAAAUAUUGAUGAUCUGCCUGACUCUCUUUUGGUUGAAAUCCUUUGUGGACUUCCUUGUUUAAUUCUGUUUCUCAAUGCAAGCUCGUUUCCAAGCGUUGGUGCACGCUCAUGUCAGAUCAUCACUCUAUCUCCCGUUUUCUAUGCGUCCAGAGGAAUCGUAAGAAUAAACCGAUAGGUACCUCCAUAAGCAUGAAUGGGGGGGGGGAAUUCUUUUAUAGAAUUUCACCAUCCUCUACUUCGCUAGCUCAGUUGUUCAAAAGGCUUGUGAGUAUCCACAGUUUGAAACAAGAGCCAGUCGUGGUAGGUACCUACAACGACUCCAGUUGUGGUAGGUACCUACAACGACUUAGUUUUGUGCUGCGCAAGCAUGUGUAGUCAGCGUGAUUACUACAUCUGCAAUCAUCACAUGAUAAUUAUGAAACAGUUUCCUGCGAAUUUAAAGCGCAGAUCUUUUUCUCUGAGCCCGGUGAAUGGAGGGAGUUCAUUCUAUCAUCCCCAUCAGCCUUUCGGGCAGCACUGUUGGGUCGGUGUAUUGGCGUUGCUUCCAACAGAAUGCUGUAUUGGCUGAGCCAUGGAGGAGACUUUAUUGUUGGGCUGGAUCCUUUCAUGAUCGAUAACAAUGAUAAUACUAGUUCAUCUACUACAAGAAGUACUGUUUUUUUCAGUGAAGGUGACGAGGGGGAUUGUGUCCCAAUAGAGUGCCUAGAUACGCUUGACGGGUGUCCGCGGCUGUGCGAGUAAGACCCUCCCACUCGCACUCCCUCUAUUUGGGAGUUGAAUGAAGAAAAUGAAGGUGAUCAGACGGUCACGAUGCAUGGAGGAGAUGACAAUUUGUGUGCGAGACUUAAUAAGAGGGUAUAUUUGGCUGAUAAGGCAAACACACCCGUGUGAAGUGAAUGAUCACAUGCUCAUCUUUUCGAUCACAACUUCCCUUCGGAUCUGAAUCGGAUGGAGAUCGGUCGGAUGGAGAUCGAGUACAACGAGUAUUCGGGUGGGUUUAGGAAGAAAGAGGAAGUACUUAGUCAUUAAGGGUAUCUCAGUAGUUUCAUAUCAACUUUUGGUUAUAAUUAUUAUAAAAUUAAAAUUGUGGCUAUAAUUUUAUAUAGGGUCAAAAUUUUAGUUAUUUUUCUAAAUUUCCCCAAUAUAAUUGCAAAUUGAUUAGUUUAA